GGACGGGUGAGUAACACGUGGGUAACCUGCCCAAAAGUGGGGGAUAACAUUUGGAAACAAGUGCUAAUACCGCAUAACAACUACUUUCACAUGAUCGUAGCUUGAAAGAUGGCUCUGCUAUCGCUUUUGGAUGGACCCGCGGCGUAUUAGCUAGUUGGUGAGGUAAUAGCUCACCAAGGCAAUGAUACGUAGCCGACCUGAGAGGGUAAUCGGCCACAUUGGGACUGAGACACGGCCCAAACUCCUACGGGAGGCAGCAGUAGGGAAUCUUCCACAAUGGGCGAAAGCCUGAUGGAGCAAUGCCGCGUGAGUGAAGAAGGUUUUCGGAUCGUAAAACUCUGUUGUUGAAGAAGAACAUGCGUGAGAGUAACUGUUCACGUACUGACGGUAUUCAACCAGAAAGCCACGGCUAACUACGUGCCAGCAGCCGCGGUAAUACGUAGGUGGCAAGCGUUGUCCGGAUUUAUU
RNAcentral lists this ribosomal RNA (468 nucleotides) under Lactobacillus sp. RNAcentral describes it as "bacterial SSU rRNA". It matches the Rfam family "Bacterial small subunit ribosomal RNA", at positions 100 to 555 of the family's 1533-position model. The record is from RNAcentral. Lineage: Bacteria; Bacillati; Bacillota; Bacilli; Lactobacillales; Lactobacillaceae.